UGUAACUUCCAUUAUUAUGAUUAAUAGGAUGAAGAUCAAGCAGAUACUGCAUUAUUACCAUCACUAACUAAUGCAGGACAAGUAAAGGUUAUGAAUGUGCCAUUGUACAUGUCAACUCACACUAGCAGACAGUCACAGGCUAUGGAGGCACGAGCACUUCACUUACAAACAUUACAAGCCUUUCAGGAUAGAAGGAAAGGAAGGAGAUAGUACUUAUUUUAUAAUAAUAUAAUCA
This is a long non-coding RNA of Amphimedon queenslandica, 235 nucleotides long. RefSeq lists it as uncharacterized. The record is from RefSeq and is a predicted model, not a curated record. Lineage: Eukaryota; Metazoa; Porifera; Demospongiae; Haplosclerida; Niphatidae. The transcript has 3 exons.